UAGACGAAUGCCUGUUGGUUUGGGCGCUUAGCUGUUAACUAAGAGUUUGUGGGAUCGAGACCCACUCGUCUAG
RNAcentral lists this transfer RNA (73 nucleotides) under Acanthocepola krusensternii (red-spotted bandfish). RNAcentral's name for it is "tRNA-Asn". Lineage: Eukaryota; Metazoa; Chordata; Actinopteri; Priacanthiformes; Cepolidae (in: ray-finned fishes). The record is from RNAcentral.